GUGGGGAAUAUUGGGCAAUGGGCGAAAGCCUGACCCAGCAACGCCGCGUGAAGGAAGAAGGUUUUCGGAUCGUAAACUUCUAUCCUUGGUGAAGAUAAUGACGGUAGCCAAGAAGGAAGCCCCGGCUAACUACGUGCCAGCAGCCGCGGUAAUACGUAGGGGGCAAGCGUUGUCCGGAAUGAUUGGGCGUAAAGGGCGCGUAGGCGGCCCGGUAAGUCUGAAGUGAAAGUCCUGCUUUUAAGGUGGGAAUUGCUUUGGAUACUGUCGGGCUUGAGUGCAGGAGAGGUAAGCGGAAUUCCCGGUGUAGCGGUGAAAUGCGUAGAGAUCGGGAGGAACACCAGUGGCGAAGGCGGCUUACUGGACUGUAACUGACGCUGAGGCACGAAAGUGUGGGGAGCAAACAGGAUUAGAUACCCUAGUAGUCC
RNAcentral lists this ribosomal RNA (425 nucleotides) under uncultured bacterium. Its description in RNAcentral is "partial 16S ribosomal RNA". It matches the Rfam family "Bacterial small subunit ribosomal RNA", at positions 354 to 796 of the family's 1533-position model. The record is from RNAcentral.